GAAGCUGGCCAGACAGUCGCUGUUCUUGAAUUCCAAGAGCAGAGGAAAGUCCGGGCUCCAGAGAGCAGGAUGCCGGCUAACGGCCGGACGCCGUGAGGCGAUGGAAAGUGCCACAGAAAAUAUACCGCCGAUGGCUUCACCCGACUUUGCGGCCGAAAGGCUGCGAAGUCUCGCUCGCGUAAGUGGGUAGGGGUGAAGAUCAGGUAAGGGUGAAAAGGUGUGAAGCGGCGUAGCCGCUUGGCGGCUUUUUAGUGAAGGCUUUCCUUCAGGUUAGCCGGAGCUAAAAGCUCAUCGCGGCUAUCCGCGGUGAGAUGAAAAGCCGCCGUAAGAGCUCACCGCGUUGCUGGUAACAGCAACGGCAGGGUAAACCCCAUCCGGAGCAAGGCCAAAUAGGAAGCCAUAGCGUGGCUCGCGCUGCUUCCGGGUAGGCUGCUAGAGCGCGUCGGUAACGGCGCCCCCAGAGGAAUGACUGUCAUAGGGACGAUUUCAAGUUGUCCCUAACAGAACCCGGCUUACCGGCCAGCUUCUUUU
RNAcentral lists this RNase P RNA (531 nucleotides) under Burkholderiales bacterium. Its description in RNAcentral is "RNase P RNA component class A". It matches the Rfam family "Bacterial RNase P class A". Rfam says of the family: Ribonuclease P (RNase P) is a ubiquitous endoribonuclease, found in archaea, bacteria and eukarya as well as chloroplasts and mitochondria. Lineage: Bacteria; Pseudomonadati; Pseudomonadota; Betaproteobacteria; Burkholderiales. The record is from RNAcentral.